GACGAACCGAGCGAACGUUAUUCGGAAUCACUGGGCUUAAAGGGCGCGUAGGCGGGUCGUACAGUCUAUGGUGAAAUCCUCCAGCUUAACUGGAGAACUGCCGUGGAUACUCACGACCUCGAGGAAUGUAGGGGCAUCUGGAACUGGUGGUGGAGCGGUGAAAUGCGUUGAUAUCAUCAGGAACUCCGGUGGCGAAGGCGAGGUGCUGGACAUUUUCUGACGCUGAGGCGCGAAAGCCAGGGGAGCAAACGGG
This 253-nucleotide ribosomal RNA is filed under the name uncultured bacterium. RNAcentral's name for it is "partial 16S ribosomal RNA". It matches the Rfam family "Bacterial small subunit ribosomal RNA", at positions 524 to 776 of the family's 1533-position model. The record is from RNAcentral.